Bactrocera neohumeralis is the source of this 291-nucleotide long non-coding RNA. RefSeq lists it as uncharacterized. The transcript has 4 exons. NCBI's taxonomy places the organism in Eukaryota, Metazoa, Arthropoda, Insecta, Diptera, Tephritidae. The record is from RefSeq and is a predicted model, not a curated record.
AGCAAUGCUUCACUCUCUACGUGACAACUCUAAGUGAAAAUAACCAAACAAAAAUACUCAGAAGUUGUGAAUACUUCAUUUUAUGGCACUUCCCAAAAAUGAAAGGUGAAAAGCUCCAGCAAAUCAAACCAGAAGCCAAAAAUAACUGAAAUUUGGAAUGAAGGGUUUCGAUGCGGCUUCGUCAAUUAGUUUCAUGUCAGAACUCGGAACUUUACGCGGCCACACGAAGCAGCGCUGCGCCGCGAUAAGCGAUACACUUUGUUGACGGUGCCAGACUUUUCUAAAACUACA